Phodopus roborovskii (desert hamster) is the source of this 3104-nucleotide long non-coding RNA. RefSeq lists it as uncharacterized. The transcript is spliced from 2 exons. The record is from RefSeq and is a predicted model, not a curated record. Lineage: Eukaryota; Metazoa; Chordata; Mammalia; Rodentia; Cricetidae.
AUCAGAGGGAGUGGCCGUCUAUGGAGGCUGUGACCCGCCCCUCGGGGGCUCCUUUGGAACUUUUUUUUUAAGUGUCCGUGGAGGAAUCGUCCCGUUGAGCGAUGCCUGGGUGACGCGACCCAAGGCUAUAAAAGCAAAAGUUGUGUCCCUCACCAACAGGAGUUAGUGAGAAGAAGGGCUCCCUUUUGGGUUUAGUGGUGGGGAGGAGGAAGUGGGUAGUUCAGGACUGCAGAUGAGAGAUGACAGAGCUACAAGCAGCCACUAGCAUGGGGGUGGGAGAAGGGCCUUUAACUAAUAAGGAGGCAAGGUGUUGGGACAGUGGUCGUGUGGACGGCAGCUUCCAAAGCGCCUUCAACAACCCACACAGGGGCAGUAACCUUAAAGACCAGGCUGGCCCUGCGGUCCGCUGGAGUGGGGAUACUUGACCUCCAAGAGGGCACAAGUCUCACGGGCCUACAUGGGCCGUGUCUAACUUAGUGACAGAGCAGGUGGUUAGGACAGGUGGACUCGGGCCCUUGAGGCCCUGGAUGUCAAGAAAUAUAAGCAGUAAAGGCAGGGUUAGGUGGGCAGUGGGGAUCAGCUUUAAACUUGACAAUACCAGCAGAGCCCUUUUUUUGCAGAUAGGGGUUGUGUACCUGCCUGGGGAUGAGGCCUGUUAUGAAAAGUGGACUUAGCUUCACGGGGCUGACAGCUCUGGCCCUGGGUGGUGGCAGUCCCCCUCCCUGGACUUUUCCUAGGUUCCGUGGGCCCCUCUUCUGUGAUCUCUUCCCCUUCUCUCCCUUCUAACUCUGAGGGUAUGGGUUCACUUAGAACCUUGCCUCUGGUCAUCUGGUAAGCCUGGGGAAGGUAGAGUUGGUGGCGGAGUCUUCUCCGCAUCUUGGUAUUACUGGUAAAAGUAUUGCUGGCUGGGUGGGGAGGAUUGGUGUUGAUUAGCAGAGGGUGGGGCUUGAAUGUGGACCCUCGGGUGGGCUCGCUCGUGGUUUCAGUCACCCAAAUGCCUCAUGGACGUGGUUUAUUGCUGUAGUGUUCAUCAUGGCAAGCAGAUGGCACCAGGAGAAAUGCAGCCCCUGCCAGUGUGAGUCGUAGCAGUGCAGGAGGGCACACCCUGGAGGAGACAGCCACCUAAGUCGAUGCCUACACAGUGAAUUCCAGAGGCUUAGGAAGUUCUGCGCUGCCAUGUGUCCAGGAGGCCAUCGUUUAAGUGGUUCAGAUCAGCUAAUCAGCUAAUGGGAGCUAAUCAGCUAAUGGGGGUUGGGACGGGCAGAUGCUUCCGGUUGGAGGGGCUGUCGGCAGUGAAUGUUCCAGAUGAAUGAAUGUCUUGUUCUGGGAGCACCAGUCUCCGGAUGCAUGAAUGCCAGCCAACAUCACCUUUCCUGGGGGUAGAGGCAUUCGGCUGCUGCAUCUUCUAAAUCAAGCCUCCAGUCUUUAGUUCUGUGCUACGAACUUGGCUUCCAGAAGAUUGCUUAAGGUGUAGAACACUUUAACUUUGUCCUCAACACAGCACGAUGCCUUGUAGAUGGUGUUUGCCGGAGGAGCCCGGUGACCUCGCCCACCUUCCCUUCAGCCUGCCUGCCUCUGCAUUGGUCAGAGGCAUUCAUAAGUGUGAAACUUUUGGGCGUUAGGGAAAGCUGUUCGAUUUUAAAUGAUGGAAGUGGAGGAGUAUUAGUGAAGCCGAUUGUUAAAUGGGUGGGUGUUGUGUUUUAAAAGUACGAAGGGCACAAGUUUUGUUGUCUAACUUGGUCAUUGGGGUGGUGUCUGGUAAGUGGUGCACCGGCCUACAGUGGUGUCUGGGAAUUUCUUUUUCUGUGGGUUUGGUUUUGGUACUGGGUGGUGUGCUACUGUUACCCCACUGAGUGACAGCACCUAGCAGCCACUUGUUUCUGUUCACUAGUUUCUCACUUGGCCUGACCUCACUCAGCUCUCAGUCCUGCUGGGAUUACAGGUGUCAUCUAAAACUCCAUCAGUUUUACUGGGUCAGGCUUCAGAAUAUUUUUGGCACCAGAGGUGGGACUUGCUGGCAAGAAAACAGGGUUCAGCUUGGCAUUGGUCUCUUGGCCAGAGGCUUGAUGAGGGGUUGGGAGUGCUGGAAAAGUGCAAUUGGAAAUGGGGGUUGAUGGGAAGAACAGUUUGGGAACUAAAAGCUCUCAUAACAUGUAAAAGUUGAUGCUAAAUCCUUAAUGUGGGUGAAUGAAUUGUUGAGGCGCAGCAACAGUUCCCUCUAAGACAAGGGGGAAAAGCAAAAUUGUUUUGCUGUUAAAAAGACAAUGCUGAAGUGUGGGGUGGGACGGGGAUGUUGGGAAGGGCUUGUAAAUGCCUACAUUGUGGGCUCUUAUAUAUAGCAUUGGCCUUUGUACUAGAGGUUGACAGACUCGGCUAGGUUUAUAAUUUAAAUCAUAUCAGAUACUGUGGUUAAUUCUAAUGCUGUUCUAUCUAAAGGGAUUUUUAAGAGUCAUGCCUUAUGAUGAAACAUCAUUUUUGGGAUUGGCCGGAACACUACAGGGGUUGUUAUAUUUGACUAAUAAAUCAGUCAUUGUGACAAGGGGACAUAGCUUUGCACUUACUAUGAAAUUAUAAUGUUUGGCAGGAAACCUGAUCCACGUACAUUUGCAAAGGCUUCAAUGAGUACAUUGUGUUUUUAGCUUGAAUGGUGCUUUCAAACAAUCCCUGAGCAGAGGGGAAAGAAACUAAUUGUCAAAAGAGUUUGGGAAAUAAAACUCAAACCAGGUGUUGCCGGGGACAUCUUCAUAGAUAAUGUAAAAAAUGGCUCUGAAAAUCCUUGGUGUCUGAAGUGGUAAAGGUAGCAGCCAAUGGCUUUUUCUGUUGUCUUUUCCCUUAAAAUCAAGUCGCCGCCAGCACUCGUUGUCUUCUGGGUUGGUGAUAUUUUUGUGUUUUAUGUGAUUUAAAAUGGUGUGACUAAGGAAUGGUCACUGUCAUUGGAACACCAAGGAGUGUUGGUCACCUUGGAAUGGGGAAAUGUGGAGACUUGUCCCAGAUGGCCACAGCACCCUCUUGUUCUCUGUACUAAAGUGUUCUAAAGUGUACCUGUACAUAGCCACUAAUCAUUUUUCUCCUUUACAGCAAAAUAAAGGUUUGAGAUCAAAACU